This 6278-nucleotide long non-coding RNA is filed under the name Homo sapiens (human). RNAcentral's name for it is "HSALNT0282952". Lineage: Eukaryota; Metazoa; Chordata; Mammalia; Primates; Hominidae. The record is from RNAcentral.
GUUAUUUUUUAAUUAAAAUAUUAAGUACUUUUAAAUAAGGGGGAGAAAAAUUGAGGUUUAUUAUUGAAAUUUUUCAUUUGAGCUUCCUGCUUUAAGCCCUAUUCACAUGAUAAAUUUCUGUGUACCUAUGCUUUCUUUUUCUUGUAAUGUUACUCCCUGGAGUUGAACUUGCUUUAUAUAUAUAUUUCAUUUUUAAUAGAAACGGGGUUUCACUAUAUUGCCUAGGCUGGUCUUGAACUCCUGGGCUCAAGUGAUCCUCCUGCCGAGGCCUCCCAAAUUGCUGGGACUACAGCUGUGAGCCACCAUGCCCAGCCUUAACUUGGUUUUAAGACCUCUGAUUUGCCUUGCCUCAAUUACCUCCUUUCUUAUUUUCUUUCCUUUGUUGACUCUCAUACUCUGUUCUCCUAAUUCUCCCCCUUUUCCACUCCCUGCCCACCCUGAAAGACACACACACACACAAUAAGUGGGUGGAGUAAGAAGUCAACGGAGUUGGAUAUAAGCAUUCCUGCUUUUCUGACAUCUCCAGUGUCUUGGAGAACAAGGAUUCUAGAAUGAGGGCUCCUCAUUAUGCUUCCUUUCAACAUUUUUUCUCUGUGUUACUUAAGCUUUCACCCCAAGCAUGUUUGACAGAGAGCCAGUGCAUUCCCCUUACUUUUUACAAAAAUAAAAAAAGAAAGAAAAAGAAAGAAAGAAAGAAAAAGAAAGAAAGAAAGAAAGAAAGAAAGAGAAAGAAAGAAAGAAAAGAAAGAAAGAAAGUUACCGAUCUUAGUAGACCAAAAAGCUAAACUUAUGAAAGUCUCAAUUCUGGGCACAAGCCUGAGAUAACCUCUAAACUCUUUAAGGUUGUAAUUUAUCUAGACAUUGGAUGAAAUAAGAGGACUUGGGCAGAGGGCACUAAUAGAAGCAUAAGAGAAAGUUUGGUUAAAGGAAGGGAUUGAUAAAAGGGAUUAUUUCUAAGAAGAGUGGUGAGGUUUCACUCAUUAAGGAAGGAAACAUUUUAUAAAUAAGUUAUUAACUUUAUAAGUAAGUAUAAAGCCUUGUUUCUAUAUUUAUUCUCCAUAUAAUAUUUUACAAAAGUGGCAUCCAAUUUAGCUGACCCCUUCUCAGACAUUUCUGAAAUCUACCUAACUCUAAGAUGGGAUACUGUGACUAUUUCCACAAAUAGAUGCUGAACUAAAGAAUUAUUUUUCCAGGGCAUUAAUGACAUUUUGGUAGAAAAUAGUCUUUGGUCAAAUGACAUCGUGGGACAGUAAUAAUAAAUUUAAUGAAGCAUGUCCUAUGUGACAGGCACUGGUCCAGCACUUCACAUUUUAAACCAUUAUGAUAUACAUUUUACAAGUGAGGAGACUGAGGCCAGAAAAGUUAAGUAACUCCCUUCCUGCUAGCUCAGCGUACUUCCUAGGGUUUGGGGAAUGAUGAGGUGAGAGUAUGCAUAUAAAGCACCCACAGUGCCUGGUACUUAUUAUUUACAAUACAUUGUAGUUAUUUUUAUAAUAGUCAUUGAUUUUGUUUUUGUGGUUUUGUGAUUAAUGGUAACUCAGAAAUAGGACUUAAAGCAGGAAGCUCAAAACAAAUGAAAUGUAGGCUUUGCUCUACAUUUUUGUUUCUCCCUAAUGCUUUUUACACUCAUGCUAUAAAAUUACAUUUGUUUAUUGCUUACAUUUCCCCACUAGAAUGCAGGCUUAAUGAAGGCAGGGAUGUGUACCUGUUUUGUUCAUUGAGGUAUCCAAAGUGCCUAAAACAAAGUUUCACAUAUAUUAGAACCUCAGUCAGUUUUUGUUGAGUAAAUAAAUUGCCCAAGGUCGUACAACUUGGGAAUAACAGAGUCUAGAUUUGCAUGCAAACAAACUGGCUUCAGUGACCAGUCUCUUAACUGCUAGUCUAUACUAUGUCUCUACCUGAAGUACAUGAAUCGUUUAUCAAUUUCUGAUGCCAUAUAAAACAUGAUGCUUUUCAUUCACAGCUGCCUUUAUAAACCGUAGGCAAUUGUGGCCUAUAGAGAGAGAAGUCAAUGGAGUCUUCUGCAUCAUUGCCAAGGGAUUUUUCUGGGAGAAUUUCCAGUCUGUAUCAAGUCUCUGUGGGCUCAGUUUAGCCCAGCUUAUGUAUACUAUGGUCAUUCUGGGUAAAGAAGGGUGAUGUCAUAAAAACUUGUGCAUUGUCUUUUAAGUCUUGGCUAUGGCUAAACCCAGAGAAAAUGAUUUUUUUUAUGUCACUGUGACCUUUUGGUGUUCAUUUCUUUCACAUUCUCAUUCCCAUUUCCUGAGUCACAAGAAGAACUCUCUUAAUGAAGAUCAAAAGUCAGAGGAAGCUCAAUUGUAGAUUUCAUUCAGAAAUGAAAAUGCACUACAAAACCUCUUCAGAAGCCUCUUUCUACACUGAGUUGAUUUUAGGCUAACAGUCAAGUGGGCAGGCUUGAUUCAGAUGACAGCUUAAAGAGCCCUCGUGUCUGAGUCACUUCAGUGUCUGCACCAGUUUUCCAGUUUUUGCCUUCAUUACAUUAGUAUGGAUUAGGGUAUGAUCAGCAAUACUUUUUCCACCUGCACUUUUAAGAAGUGUAAAACGUGGGUGGUGGUACUUUUAAAUUAGAAGAACAGAUGUAGCAGACAUGACAUCUUUUUCUUUCACUCCUCCAUCCUCAUAGCCUAGAGACAUCAGAUGCAAUCCUUUCUCAUUUGCCUAACCUCUGAAAACAACUUCUCAGUGUCUUUCUUAGACUAAGGGGUGCCUCUCAGAGGAAGACAGAAACAGCUAUUCAUAUGAAAAUGUCUAGAGUCCUGGGGAGUGUAAUGUGUCUGUCCUAUACUAAAGAUGGAAUAGAUACCUUGACUUUAUUUUUAAAAUGGCAACUAGACAAGAGGAUUCCAUGUGUUCCAAUCUACAUGUAACAGGGCAUGGAUAAUGUAGCCUGCUCCCUCCAACAGGUUAUGAGGCCUUCAAGUCACAUUUGCAUUCCCUAUCAUUGUCUGGCAUCUUUUCUAGUGGUCGGCUAUUGUUUCUUAUGAGAAGGUGUUUCCCUGGACUAUGGUAUCUUUCUGUCUGCAUCACUGCCAGUAGUUAGGCCUUAAGUAAGUACCUUUUCUCCUUACAGAAUAUCCAUUACUCUAAUUGUAAAUCUGGAGGAAAUAUACUGUAACAGGGAUAGCUCAAAUCUAGUUUAUGGGGAAGAGUGUAGAAUAGAAAUACAUAACGGGUUUAGGGUGUGAUAUACUCUCUGGCACUUACCAGUGCAGUGUUAUUACUUGCAUAGGAUGCUUAACUUCUCUGAACCUCAGCUAUAUCAUGUGAAAAUGGAAAAAUAAUUUGUACUUCCUAGGGUUUGGGGAAUGAUGAGAUGAGAGUAUGCAUAUAAAGCACCCACAGUGCCUGGUACUUAUUAUUUACAAUAAAUUGUAGUGAUUUUUAUAAUAGUCAUUGAUUUUGUUUUUGUAGUUUUGUGAUUAAUGGUAACUCAGAAAACACUAAAAUCAUGUAGACUUAAUAUGCUUGUAGGAAAGACAUGAGAACUGCUUAUCUUCAUCCAUUCAUCUUAACUUGUCCCAGUCUUAACCUAGCCAAAGCAUGACUCAGCGUUACAAUGGCUAUCACCAACCUUUUCCACCCAGACUUCCCCAUUUCAGUAACCUGCAGCUUUUCCUUUCAGUUGAUAAGACCAAAAACAUUAGAUUCAUCACUGUGUCCAUAUAUAAUAACAAAAUCAGCAAAUGCUAUUGGCUCUAACCUUAAAAAACAGAAUAUCCUAAAUCUAAUCACUUCUGUUCACCUCCAGUCUACCAUUCCUGAUCCAAACUACCACCAUCUCUCUUUUAGAAUAUCAUAAUAGCCUCUUAACUAAUCACUCCUCGUCUAUCCUUGCCCCUAACAAUUUAUUCUAACACAUCAGCUAGAGUGAUUUUGUUUUAACCUAACUUAGAUCAGAUCACACCUCCACUCAGAUCCCUUCAGUGGCUUCCCAUAUUAUUCAAACUGAAAGCCAAAGUGCUAUACCUGACAUAAAAGAAUCUGCAUGAUUUGGGUCCUGCUCCCUCUCUGACCCCAUCUCCUACUCCCUGUUUCCACUCACUCACUCUAUUCAAUUCAGAGCAACUUUGCACUUGUCAUUUUUUCUGCUUGGAAUUCUCUUCCCUCCAAUAUUUAUAUGGCUCACUUUCUUAAUUUUUCAGGCCUCCAUUCAAAUAGUGCCUCCCAGAGAGACCUGUGUAAAACAGCAACACACUUCCCAGCACUCUCCAUCCCUUUUACUCACUCUUAGUUUCUCUGACAUAUUAUAUAUUGUUUAUUGUCCAUUUUCCCUAACUAAAAUUUAGCUCUAUAAGGCAUAUUGUUUUGUUUAUCAAUGUAUCCCUAGUACUGAACAAAUGAAAAAUUUGCUGUGUGUCUCUUAUGUUUUAAACACUGUAGCACUACAGAUAAAACAUGAACUCCAGCCUCCACUACAGAUAAAACAUGAGCUCCAGUGCUAAAACAUAGGCCAAUCACAGUCGCUUAUGCCUAUAAUCCCAGCAAUUUGAGGUGGGAGGAUUCCUUGAGCCCAGGAGUUUGAGACCAGUCUAGGCAACAUGGUGAGACCCUGUCUUUACAAAAAUAAAAAAAAUAAUAAUAACCAGGCAUGAUGGUGUGUGCCUGUAGUCCCAGCUACUUGGGAGGCUGAGGCUGGAGGAUCACUUGAGCUCAAGAGGUUGAGGCUGCAGUGAGCUGUGAUCAGGCCCUUACCUUCCAGCCUGAGUGACAGAGCAAGGGCCCUGUAUCAAAACAAAAACAAAAACUACUUUAAAUGAAGGCUUGUUGGUAAUCAUUUCACAAUGUGUAUAUAUAUCAAAAUAUCAUGUUAUAUACCUUAAAAUGUACAAUUUAUUUCAAUAAAGAUGGAAAAUAAUUAUUUCAUGGAACCUUGCUAAAGCAAACAAUAAAUUGAGUAUCUACAAAGUGUCUAUGUUGGCCCUCCAGAAAGAAAAAAAACAGAUAAGGGCCAACAAAGAAAUAAUAUAACUAUACAAUUCCCAUUAUGCUCAACGCUAUACUAAAGGUCUUUGCCAGGUACUGAUAGAUUAGAAUAGGGAGCUUGAUGGCAUGAAGGAUGACAGUGUCAUCAGGAGGGUAAUGCUUGAGCUAGAAUUUGAGCAGAAUUUUGAAGGAUGAACAUUCAGUAAGCAACUGAGGGGUGAAGGGUGGUGGUAAGAGUGGUUCAUUGAGAAAGCAUUCCAGAUGAAGGGAAGAGCAAGUAAAAUAACAAGGAUAUUUAAAAGAGUAUAGCAACAGAUGGAGAGAAACUUAGGAUAGAGUGAAUAGGAAGAGCAUGUGAAACAUACAAAAUUCCAUUCACUGGAGAGGAGUUCUGAUAGACUGAAAGAACUCAUGAUGGUUUUGAAAAUUAUUUGAAUCAUAUCCUUUAGGCCUGGUUUAUGUUCCUGGGGUCAGUUUAUCUUCUACUUUAGGUAAGGAACAGAACAAUAACAAACAUACUUUAGUAUCAAUCCUUAGUUCAGCUCACCAGCUUUGGGUAAAAUUGUGAAUAUAUCCUUUCGCCAGAGCUUUGGCAGAAAAAUCUAUUACUUAAUUACCUUAGAAUACCUUUGCUUGUCAACAAGAGACCAUUUUAUGCCCCAACUCCCAACCUCAAUAGAAAAAAAGUAGAAAAUAAAGAAGUAUGUCCAUAUUUGACAUAAUAUAGGAAGGUUUCUCUUUAAAUAAAUGGCUUAGCAUUUAUCUGUUUGACUGUUUACUUCAGAGCUGCUUUUAAAGGUUUUGCACCCAUCUAUAAGUCAGAUACUCCCAUGUAAUGUACCAAAUGGGAUCAAAACUGAGUCAGUUUUCUAACACUGCAUUCAGUCUAGAUUAGAAAAAGUUUCUUAAAUUGGCAAAUUAGAUCAUAAGAACAAAGCAAAACAAACAAACAAACAAAAAACCCACAGUGUAGUUGGUGUGCAAAUGUAGCUGAUGAGAUUUGGAUUGAGUGUCAUAUUGUGAGGUGUUAUGAACUUCUCAAAACAUCAUUUCUGUGAACACAUGAAAAUUGAGUGUCUGCAAUGUGCAAAAAAGUGUAAUCAGGGAGAGAGAGAGAAAAAUUACUAGUCAUGUACUUAAAAAAUCUUAUACCAGGUUACACUUUGGGGUGGGGUAAAUGGAGUGCCACUGGUAGAGUUGAGCAGUGUAGAUGAUUCACCUUCCUACACCAUCUAGAUCUAAUCAGUUGCAAAAUGAAAAUGUCUUUAAAUCUCUGUUAUAUCUGAAAAAAGUGGCAGAAAGGAGACAGGACUAAAUUGCACCUCCCACUUGGACAG